Long non-coding RNA from Papaver somniferum (opium poppy), 628 nucleotides. RefSeq lists it as uncharacterized. The transcript has 2 exons. Lineage: Eukaryota; Viridiplantae; Streptophyta; Magnoliopsida; Ranunculales; Papaveraceae. The record is from RefSeq and is a predicted model, not a curated record.
GCCCGAGUCUCACUCACUAUCUGCGUCUCUCCCUCUGUAGCAGCACAUACAUGGCUUCUCAACUAGGUGUUCUAAUGUCAAAGACGUCUUGGGCAUUUCAGCCAAACAUUUUGAGACUCGGCCAGUACAUUAGUAUCAGAGUUGCGACUACCAGGGCAACGAAACCGAAGAAACCAAAGAGUCCUCCCAUCGGGAAGGGAAACAAGCCGCCUCAAACCAAUGCUUGACAACCAGAACGGUGCUUCCGGUUCAUUAUCAGUUGCUGAAUGGAAGUGAAAUAUGAACAAGUGGUAGAGACACCAACAAUAACAAGAUUACAGUAGUAGCAGUUGGAUUAAGUCAAAGCUAGCCAACCACUUUAUUCUUAUUCUUAUUGAGUUAUAUUUUUGUGUAUGUACUUCUUGUUUGUUUAUUAUCCAGUUGAAUAACCAAAUCAGGCUAGUGUAAAACAGGACUUUGAGCCAAAAUCGAAGUCAACCAACACUUACUUGACUUUAUGAAACGCCGCAGCUAACUUUGCAUUUCCAGCGUUUCGAUUUAUCAAGUGAUACUUUUCAUAACUGCUAAAAAAAAAAAAAAAAUUACUGGUUGAAAAACAACAAUCAACUGCCGACAAAACUGGGAGAAC